GACGAACGCUGGCGGCGUGCCUAAUACAUGCAAGUUGAGCGCUGAAGGUUGGUACUUGUACCCACUGGAUGAGCAGCGAACGGGUGAGUAACGCGUGGGGAAUCUGCCUUUGAGCGGGGGACAACAUUUGGAAACGAAUGCUAAUACCGCAUAAAAACUUUAAACACAAGUUUCAAGUUUGAAAGAUGCAAUUGCAUCACUCAAAGAUGAUCCCGCGUUGUAUUAGCUAGUUGGUGAGGUAAAGGCUCACCAAGGCGAGGAUACAUAGCCGACCUGAGAGGGUGAGCUGCCACAUUGGGACUGGGACACGGCCCAAACUCCUACGGGAGGCAGCAGUAGGGAAUCUUCGGGAAUGGACGAAAGUCUGAACGAGCAACACCGCGUGAGUGAAGAAGGGUUUCGGGUCGUAAAACUCUGUUGGUAGGGAAGAACGUUGGUGAGAGUGGAAAGCUCAUCAAGUGACGGUAACUACCCAGAAAGGGACGGCUAACUACGUG
This 497-nucleotide ribosomal RNA is filed under the name uncultured bacterium. RNAcentral's name for it is "partial 16S ribosomal RNA". It matches the Rfam family "Bacterial small subunit ribosomal RNA", at positions 28 to 507 of the family's 1533-position model. The record is from RNAcentral.